AGAGUUUGAUCCUGGCUCAGAGUGAACGCUGGCGGCGUGCUUAACACAUGCAAGUCGAACGAGAACAGAAGAGAGCUUGCUCUCUUGCUGCUAAGUGGCGCACGGGUGAGUAAUAUAUAGGUAAUAUGCCUCUUACUAAGGGAUAAUUGUUGGAAACGACUUGUAAUACCUUAUAUGCCUUUUGAACAUAAGUUCGUAAAGGGAAAGAUUUAUCGGUAAGAGAUUAGCCUGUACGGUAUCAGAUAGUUGGUGGGGUAAUGGCCUACCAAGUCUAUGACACCUAACUGGUUUGAGAGGAUGAUCAGUCACACUGGAACUGAGACACGGUCCAGACUCCCACGGGAGGCAGCAGUGGGGAAUAUUGCACAAUGGACGAAAGUCUGAUGCAGCAACGCCGCGUGGAGGAUGACACAUUUCGGUGCGUAAACUCCUUUUAUAUGAGAAGAUAAUGACGGUAUCAUAUGAAUAAGCACCGGCUAACUCCGUGCCAGCAGCCGCGGUAAUACGGGGGGUGCAAGCGUUACUCGGAAUCACUGGGCGUAAAGAGCAUGUAGGCGGGUGAAUAAGUUGGAAGUGAAAUCCUAUAGCUUAACUAUAGAACUGCUUCCAAAACUGUUCACCUAGAGUAUGGGAGAGGUAGAUGGAAUUUCUGGUGUAGGGGUAAAAUCCGUAGAGAUCAGAAGGAAUACCGAUUGCGAAGGCGAUCUACUGGAACAUUACUGACGCUCAGAUGCGAAAGCGUGGGGAGCAAACAGGAUUAGAUACCCUGGUAGUCCCCGCCCUAAACGAUGUACACUAGUUGUUGCUAUACUAGAUAUGGCAGUAAUGCAGU
This 832-nucleotide ribosomal RNA is filed under the name uncultured bacterium. Its description in RNAcentral is "bacterial SSU rRNA". It matches the Rfam family "Bacterial small subunit ribosomal RNA", at positions 8 to 852 of the family's 1533-position model. The record is from RNAcentral.